Long non-coding RNA from Pseudophryne corroboree (corroboree frog), 468 nucleotides. RefSeq lists it as uncharacterized. The record is from RefSeq and is a predicted model, not a curated record. Lineage: Eukaryota; Metazoa; Chordata; Amphibia; Anura; Myobatrachidae. The transcript has 3 exons.
GCACAUGAAGGCUGGGACUAUACCUCAAACCAACUCUAUUCCCUGAGACGAAAGAAAAAGGCUACAAUUUACAUAGAGCCAUGGCCUUCCCUGAACAUCUUGAAUAUUCUAAAUCACUGCAAAGUAGUUCUGUAAUGCCCAGAGACAAGACCUCACUUGCGGCGCGUCGUCGUGGCAACCGGCCGGCCCAUGUACGUCACUUCCUGCACUGUGGUGACGCAGAAACCGGAUGUGCCGAGCGGGGAAGUGCGGUGGACCGCGAUGCACGCUGCUGUGAGCGGGGGAAGGGGGAUCCUGAGGAUGGAAAUCAAAAUGAGGCUAUACGGAGGGUGCUCCAAAACAUGCGAGCCAACAUUGUUGCCCUCCUAGCCAAUGUGGACUAUUUAUUAUUAUAAAAAAAAAAAAAAAAUUGUGUUUUUUUAUUUUGGCUCUUUUCAUAUUUUAAUUUAAUUUUUUUUUUUACAAAUU